UCGGUCUUGCCCAGGCACUCAAGCGUUUUGCAUCUCUGUUGUGCUAUGACUAUUGCCACAGACCCAGAGAGCCUGCACAAUUGCAUGCAUCUGUGUUUGAGAGGUAUAGGGACCAAGGAAUUGAUCCAUAUUUUUACCACAGGGUUAAAAAUUGACAAGGGCAUGACAAAACAUCAUGUUCUUCCUUCUGCUAGAAAGGAAAUGCCUUGCGUUUCAGGAUUAUCCAACCGACCGGCACACUCUUGAAGAGCUUCAUUUCUACCCCUAUGAGCACUUCCUUAAUUAAAAGGACAAAGCCGUUGCUCUUGUUCGUUUAUUGGGUGCUAUCGGAUGAUAAAACGUUCUCUUUGCUUCAAAACAACAAGUACUUCCUUUGUCGAACAACCAUCCUUUUUUUAUCUCUCUUUCUAUAGAGACUAUCCGACCUUCACACUCUUGAAGAGCUUCAUUUCUACCCCUAUGAGCACCUCCUUAAUUGAAAGGACAAAACCGUUAGAAUUCUAAAAUAUUCGCUCCAACGAGGAGUCGAACCUAGGACCUCUUUAUUAUGUUGUAGGCUAAAUAGUACUGUAAUGCAUUCAUCUUCUUGACAUUGAAUGCGUUUACUGCGAUGCAUGCAAUAUAUAAUGCUUCCUUCGUUUCAAAAUAUAAGUAUACGAAAGGUUUAGUCUUCUACCACAGUAAAAACAUUUCUAUC
RNAcentral lists this long non-coding RNA (697 nucleotides) under Oryza brachyantha (malo sina). Its description in RNAcentral is "long non-coding RNA (OBRA_LNC001719)". The record is from RNAcentral. Lineage: Eukaryota; Viridiplantae; Streptophyta; Magnoliopsida; Poales; Poaceae.